This 874-nucleotide ribosomal RNA is filed under the name Schwanniomyces vanrijiae var. vanrijiae. RNAcentral's name for it is "LSU rRNA". It matches the Rfam family "Eukaryotic large subunit ribosomal RNA", at positions 38 to 931 of the family's 3401-position model. The record is from RNAcentral. Lineage: Eukaryota; Fungi; Ascomycota; Pichiomycetes; Serinales; Debaryomycetaceae.
GCAUAUCAAUAAGCGGAGGAAAAGAAACCAACAGGGAUUGCCUCAGUAACGGCGAGUGAAGCGGCAAAAGCUCAAAUUUGAAAUCUGGCACCUUCGGUGUCCGAGUUGUAAUUUGAAGAAGGUAACUUUGGAGUUGGCUCUUGUCUAUGUUCCUUGGAACAGGACGUCACAGAGGGUGAGAAUCCCGUGCGAUGAGAUGCCCAAUUCUAUGUAAAGUGCUUUCGAAGAGUCGAGUUGUUUGGGAAUGCAGCUCUAAGUGGGUGGUAAAUUCCAUCUAAAGCUAAAUAUUGGCGAGAGACCGAUAGCGAACAAGUACAGUGAUGGAAAGAUGAAAAGAACUUUGAAAAGAGAGUGAAAAAGUACGUGAAAUUGUUGAAAGGGAAGGGCUUGAGAUCAGACUUGGUAUUUUGCAAGCCUUACCUUCGUGGUGGGGUCCCCUGCAGUUUACUGGGCCAGCAUCGGUUUGGAUGGUAGGAUAAUGACUUGGGAAUGUGACUUUGCUUCGGUAAAGUGUUAUAGCCCUUGUUGAUACUGCCUGUCUAGACCGAGGACUGCGUCUUUGACUAGGAUGCUGGCAUAAUGAUCUUAAGUCGCCCGUCUUGAAACACGGACCAAGGAGUCUAACGUCUAUGCAAGUGUUUGGGUGUAAAACCCGUACGCGUAAUGAAAGUGAACGUAGGUGAGAGCUCUUUUGAGUGCAUCAUCGACCGAUCCUGAUGUCUUCGGAUGGAUUUGAGUAAGAGCAUAGCUGUUGGGACCCGAAAGAUGGUGAACUAUGCCUGAAUAGGGUGAAGCCAGAGGAAACUCUGGUGGAGGCUCGUAGCGGUUCUGACGUGCAAAUCGAUCGUCGAAUUUGGGUAUAGGGGCGAAAGAC